AGUGAACGCUGGCGGUAGGCCUAACACAUGCAAGUCGAGCGAAUGGAUUAAGAGCUUGCUCUUAUGAAGUUAGCGGCGGACGGGUGAGUAACACGUGGGUAACCUGCCCAUAAGACUGGGAUAACUCCGGGAAACCGGGGCUAAUACCGGAUAACAUUUUGAACCGCAUGGUUCGAAAUUGAAAGGCGGCUUCGGCUGUCACUUAUGGAUGGACCCGCGUCGCAUUAGCUAGUUGGUGAGGUAACGGCUCACCAAGGCAACGAUGCGUAGCCGACCUGAGAGGGUGAUCGGCCACACUGGGACUGAGACACGGCCCAGACUCCUACGGGAGGCAGCAGUAGGGAAUCUUCCGCAAUGGACGAAAGUCUGACGGAGCAACGCCGAGUGAGUGAUGAAGGCUUUCGGGUCGUAAAACUCUGUUGUUAGGGAAGAACAAGUGCUAGUUGAAUAAGCUGGCACCUUGACGGUACCUAACCAGAAAGCCACGGCUAACUACGUGCCAGCCGCCGCAGUAA
RNAcentral lists this ribosomal RNA (515 nucleotides) under uncultured bacterium. RNAcentral describes it as "partial 16S ribosomal RNA". It matches the Rfam family "Bacterial small subunit ribosomal RNA", at positions 29 to 523 of the family's 1533-position model. The record is from RNAcentral.